RNAcentral lists this ribosomal RNA (970 nucleotides) under Periconia cynodontis. Its description in RNAcentral is "SSU rRNA". It matches the Rfam family "Eukaryotic small subunit ribosomal RNA", at positions 129 to 1108 of the family's 1831-position model. The record is from RNAcentral. Lineage: Eukaryota; Fungi; Ascomycota; Dothideomycetes; Pleosporales; Periconiaceae.
ACCUUACUACUUGGAUAACCGUGGUAAUUCUAGAGCUAAUACAUGCUAAAAACCCCAACUUCGGGAGGGGUGUAUUUAUUAGAUAAAAAACCAAUGCCCUUCGGGGCUCCUUGGUGAUUCAUAAUAACUUCUCAGAUCGCAUGGCCUUGCGCCGGCGACGGUUCAUUCAAAUUUCUGCCCUAUCAACUUUCGAUGGUAAGGUAUUGGCUUACCAUGGUUUCAACGGGUAACGGGGAAUUAGGGUUCGAUUCCGGAGAGGGAGCCUGAGAAACGGCUACCACAUCCAAGGAAGGCAGCAGGCGCGCAAAUUACCCAAUCCCGACACGGGGAGGUAGUGACAAUAAAUACUGAUACAGGGCUCUUUAGGGUCUUGUAAUUGGAAUGAGUACAAUUUAAACCUCUUAACGAGGAACAAUUGGAGGGCAAGUCUGGUGCCAGCAGCCGCGGUAAUUCCAGCUCCAAUAGCGUAUAUUAAAGUUGUUGCAGUUAAAAAGCUCGUAGUUGAACCUUUGGCCUGGCUGGCGGGUCCGCCUCACCGCGUGCACUCGUCCGGCCGGGCCUUUUCUUCUGGAGAACCGCAUGCCCUUCACUGGGUGUGUUGGGGACCAGGACUUUUACUUUGAAAAAAUUAGAGUGUUCAAAGCAGGCCUUUGCUCGAAUACGUUAGCAUGGAAUAAUAGAAUAGGACGUGCGGUCCUAUUUUGUUGGUUUCUAGGACCGCCGUAAUGAUUAAUAGGGACAGUCGGGGGCAUCAGUAUUCAAUUGUCAGAGGUGAAAUUCUUGGAUUUAUUGAAGACUAACUACUGCGAAAGCAUUUGCCAAGGAUGUUUUCAUUAAUCAGUGAACGAAAGUUAGGGGAUCGAAGACGAUCAGAUACCGUCGUAGUCUUAACCAUAAACUAUGCCGACUAGGGAUCGGGCGGCGUUACUAUUAUGACUCGCUCGGCACCUUACGAGAAAUCAAAGUGUUU